This is a non-coding RNA of Dipodomys ordii (Ord's kangaroo rat), 65 nucleotides long. NCBI's taxonomy places the organism in Eukaryota, Metazoa, Chordata, Mammalia, Rodentia, Heteromyidae. The record is from Rfam.
GGUGGCUCAGUGGUAGAGUGCUUGCCUUGCAUGCAUGAGGCCCUGGGUUCAAAUCCUCAGUACCA